CUUCUUCUUCCCCGAGCCCGAAAGACAAAAUAUGCAGAAAAUUUUUUCUCCCUUUCUCUCUCCUUUGACUCUCUCCCUCUCCCUGUUUGACCGGCGUUUCGCCGGAUUUCAAUCUCCAGAAUGCUACACGCGCCGGCCCCCGGUGUAUCCCGCCACCUCGAGACCUUGGCCACCAAGUUUCCCGGCCAUCCGCCGCCGGACGCGCCCAGAUCGGGCCGGCGAAGUCGCGGCGGCGAGGUGAAAUUUUUCCGGCGAUUCUCGCCGUUUCCGACCAACCCAAUCCGUCCCAUACCUCUAUCCCACUAUUUUCGACCACUCUGAGUCCAUUUCCGGGGUUAGAUUGCCCAAAAUCCCCACCGUUUGAAAGAUCCCUCAAGAUCAAAACCGGCCGAAGCUUCCCUACCAAAUUCCGGCCACCUCCGGCGGAAUUGGGGUCGAUGGAGACCGGAUUGGUGAUUCUCGUCCCACGAGCUUCGAUUCGGAGCACCGAUGAGUACUAGAAUUGAUCCCGUGGUGAAUCAUGGGUUAAUUGCGUGCUCCAGGUGAGUGACCCACCUUUAAAAAUAUUUUUGGGAUAAUUAAUUGUAUUUAUGUGGUAUUAAUUUGAUAUCUGUAAUUUGUGCUCAUGUGGUGUAUUUUAAAUACAAUCGGGAAAAAAUAUUAUUUUAUAUAUAUAUUUACCCAUUGGUGCUAAAUGAAAUUUUGGAGUCAUUAAGAAAUUCCCGAUUAUUAUUUUAUUAUGGUUAAAUGAUAUUUAUUCCACAUGAGUAAGUAUUUUCAGUAAUUCGUUGUGUUUGGAUUUUAUAUAAAUUUCGGGCAUAAUUGGGUUAAAUAUUUUAUGAAAAUAUUUGUUUAAGUUGGUGGUUUAAUUUUAUAAAUUAUGCCCGCGGUAUUUCAAUUGUUGAAUCUCGUAUUACGAGAAAAGGUAUGGUUUUAUCUGUUAUCAAUGUUUCGUACCGGGUUAUUGAAUAAAAAUAUGUGGGAUGGUAAGUGUGAGAAUUUAAUGUAUUUUCCACGGUGGUUUUUGGAAAAACGGUACGGUUGGUUAUUAUUAUUAUUUUUAGACGCACUCAUACAGUAUUGGUGUUCUGGUGUAUGGUGUAUGGACACGUGGUAGCACGCGGUUAUUAUGUGGUUUAGCGUGCGGUUAUUACUUCACCCGUGAGUUGCCAUUGGACCGUGGGCAGGCAAGGUUAUUGUUGUGCACAGCCGCCCCCCUCCUUGGUCGGGUUGAUGGUUUUAGCAGCGGUACUGUCGGGACGCCGAAGUGACCGUUGCAGGUUUCUCUCUUUAACCCCCCACCAGUCGGUGCUCAGGACGCUGGGUAUCGGAGGGCAUCACCGGUAUAUGGUGUGGUGCGUCAGUGUAAAUUGCAAAUAAUGUUUUAAACCCCAAAGGUGUUCUAAAAUUAUUUAUUAUAAUUUAUUGCAGUUUAGUUAUACUUGGGGUAUUUAUUUAUUUAUUUAUUUAUUUGUUUAUUUGUUGUUUAUUAAAUUAUUUGGUUCCUUGGUUUUUGGGAAGUACGUACAAGGGUUUUGUGAAAAUGUUUUAAAAUGGGAACUUUUCCAACUGAGAGAAUUGUAAGGGUUUUGAGAGAAAUUAUUAUUUUCCAAUUAAUUAUUAUCUAUCUACUGUAUUACCGUGGUAUUAUAUUGUAUAGUAGAUAGGGUCACUCACUGAGAUGAUUAGCAUCUCACACUCUUAAAUUCCGUUCCCCUAGGUUCAGGUCGGAGACGUUGAUUGUCCGGGGCGAGCCCAACGUCUCAGUUCGUUGCCGAAGGUUCAAGAAGUUUUUCUUCCCUUUUUCCUCUUGAACUUGUAUUGUUUCUUUAUCUGUCAUUUUAUAAAUUCCACAUUUGUUGUAUAAUGCUCUGUAUACUGUAUUGGACGUGUAGUUGUUUUUAAUGCACUGGGUUACUGCUGUUGUUUUAUUUUGAAGUGCUGCAAUUUGUGGAACCAAUUUGUAGUAUCGUGGGAGGAAUAAGGGGAUGUUUUUAGAAGUGUGCUUUCAGUGCAGGUAGUUUGUGGUAAGUAAAUCCCUUAGGGGAGGCUCUGCCGGAUUUUCCGUUGGAGGGUCCAGUAGGGUUUCCCUGGGAUCAGGGCUGUCUAGGGUUCCGAGGAAGGAAUUCUGGACGGGUCCUGACAGGGAGCUUGAUUUUCAAAUUAGUAGAAUAUAUAUUAAUAAACAAGUUAAUUUUCAAUAAAUAAAUUAAUUUUGAA
Long non-coding RNA from Ziziphus jujuba (common jujube), 2220 nucleotides. RefSeq lists it as uncharacterized. The transcript has 2 exons. The record is from RefSeq and is a predicted model, not a curated record. Lineage: Eukaryota; Viridiplantae; Streptophyta; Magnoliopsida; Rosales; Rhamnaceae.